RNAcentral lists this ribosomal RNA (497 nucleotides) under uncultured bacterium. RNAcentral describes it as "partial 16S ribosomal RNA". It matches the Rfam family "Bacterial small subunit ribosomal RNA", at positions 28 to 507 of the family's 1533-position model. The record is from RNAcentral.
GACGAACGCUGGCGGCGUGCCUAAUACAUGCAAGUUGAGCGCUGAAGGUUGGUACUUGUACCAACUGGAUGAGCAGCGAACGGUUGAGUAACGCGUGGUGAAUCUGCCUUUGAUCGGGUGACAACAUUUUUAAACUAAUGCUAAUACCGCAUAAAAACUUUAAAAAAAAGUUUUAAUUUUGAAAGAUGCAAUUGCAACACUCACAGAUGAUCCCGCUUUGUAUUAGCUAGUUGGUGAGGUAAAGGCUCACCAAGGCUAGGAUACAUAGACGACCUGAAAGGGUGAUAGGCGACAUUGGGAUGGAGACACGAACAAAAAUAUUACAAGAGGCAGCAGUAGGGAAUAUUAGGCAAUGGAAGAAAUUCUGAACGAGCAACGCCGCGUGAGUGAAGAAUGUAUUCGGAUCGUAAAACUCUGUUGGGGGAGAAGAACGUUGGGGAGAGUGGAAAGCGCAUCAAGUGACGGUAACAAAACAGAAAGGGACGGCUAACUACGUG